Non-coding RNA from Phoenix dactylifera (date palm), 508 nucleotides. Lineage: Eukaryota; Viridiplantae; Streptophyta; Magnoliopsida; Arecales; Arecaceae. The record is from RefSeq and is a predicted model, not a curated record.
AGAAGCAUUAUCUUCAUUCCAGACAACAUAUUCGGACAUUUAAACAUAUCAACAACUUGCAAGGAUAAGAAAUCAAACAGUAGGGAUUGUAGGUGAAGAGCCCUCUCUUUCACCCCUUUCACCAACACUGUUAUCUGCAAAUUUUAAGCUUGCUGAGUGGUAACCUUUCUCUUUCACCCCUUUCACCGACACUGUUAAGGAUGUGCAUGCAGCAUUAUUGUGGCAGAAAGGGUUGCCCUCAAUUUUAUGCAAAGAAUGAGUGGAAUAGCAACACUUACCAAGGUAGCUUUCCAUGUAUCAACUAAUAUUCCAUGGUCUUUUUUCCAGCCUCAAUCAGAAUAGCUUUACAUUUUGCAUGGUUCUUCAUGCACAUAUUCAUUGUGUUGUGUUGGGUUUGCUAGGGUUGUAGUGGUAAGAUAGCUGAAAUUAUACUGCCUUUUUUUGUAAAGUCCAUCUUGAAUUUGUAAAGAAAACAUAAACAUAAAUUUCCAGACCAGGUUUCCAUCAA